Molecule: ribosomal RNA, 449 nt
Filed under: uncultured bacterium
Lineage: Bacteria
Description: bacterial SSU rRNA
Rfam family: Bacterial small subunit ribosomal RNA
Source: RNAcentral
GCGGUGCGCCUUAUGCAUGCAAGUCGAGCGAAGCUUUUCAGUAGUUUACUACAGAAAAUGACUGAGCGGCGAACGGGUGAGUAACGCGUGAGCAACCUACCUUAGUUACCGGGAUAGCCCGAGGAAACUCGGAUUAAUACCGGAUAUUCUUAUUUAAUCACAUGAUUUUUUAAGGAAAGGUCAGCCGAACUAAGAUGGGCUCGCGUUCUAUCAGCUAGUUGGUAGGGUAAUGGCCUACCAAGGCUACGACGGAUAGCUGGUCUGAGAGGACGAUCAGCCACACUGGGACUGAGACACGGCCCAGACUCCUACGGGAGGCUGCAGCAGGGAAUAUUGCGCAAUGAGCGAAAGCUUGACGCAGCGACACCGCGUGUGGGAUGACGGAUCUAGGUUUGUAAACCACUUUCAGGAGGGAAGAAAAUGACGGUACCUCCACAAGAAGCCCCGGC